CUACGGGAGGCUGCAGUGGGGAAUAUUGCACAAUGGGCGCAAGCCUGAUGCAGCCAUGCCGCGUGUGUGAAGAAGGCCUUCGGGUUGUAAAGCACUUUCAGCGGGGAGGAAGGCGGUGAGGUUAAUAACCUCAUCGAUUGACGUUACCCGCAGAAGAAGCACCGGCUAACUCCGUGCCAGCAGCCGCGGUAAUACGGAGGAUGCAAGCGUUAAUCGGAAUUACUGGGCGUAAAGCGCACGCAGGCGGUCUGUCAAGUCGGAUGUGAAAUCCCCGGGCUCAACCUGGGAACUGCAUUCGAAACUGGCAGGCUAGAGUCUUGUAGAGGGGGGUAGAAUUCCAGGUGUAGCGGUGAAAUGCGUAGAGAUCUGGAGGAAUACCGGUGGCGAAGGCGGCCCCCUGGGCAAAGACUGACGCUCAGGUGCGAAAGCGUGGGGAGCAAACAGGAUUAGAUACCCGAGUAGUC
RNAcentral lists this ribosomal RNA (464 nucleotides) under uncultured Klebsiella sp. RNAcentral's name for it is "bacterial SSU rRNA". It matches the Rfam family "Bacterial small subunit ribosomal RNA", at positions 339 to 795 of the family's 1533-position model. The record is from RNAcentral. Lineage: Bacteria; Pseudomonadati; Pseudomonadota; Gammaproteobacteria; Enterobacterales; Enterobacteriaceae.